Elaeis guineensis (African oil palm) is the source of this 2296-nucleotide RNA transcript. RefSeq lists it as uncharacterized. The record is from RefSeq and is a predicted model, not a curated record. NCBI's taxonomy places the organism in Eukaryota, Viridiplantae, Streptophyta, Magnoliopsida, Arecales, Arecaceae.
GCUGUUACCGCCCAACAACGGAUCACCCUUGAAGGCUAAAACAGCAGCACCCUCCUCCUCCUCCUCCUUCAGAAACCCUAAUCCUAGCCCAAGCGGAGGAUGUCUGCGAUCGAGCCCGGCGGAGGUGGAGAACAGGGCGGGUUCCACCGCAACGAGGCCAUCUCGGCCGUUCAGGACGAGGAGCAGUUAUACGGGGAGGACGAGGACUACGACGACCUCUACAACGACGUUAACGUCGGCGAGGGCUUCCUCCACGCCGUUCAUCGGACCGACGAGCCGGGGGGGUAUCCGAGGGAGGACGGGAGCAGGAGAAAGCCUGCGCCGCCGCCCCCGGUGCUCCCGCCGUCGGGGGAAGCGCCGGAGAAGGUCCAGAUCCCUGGGAUCGCUGGCGACCCGAAGAUCGAGAGGCCGGUGGAUAGAUCCGGUGGCUUUCAUGAGCAAGGGUUGCGGGGAGGUGGAGAAUCCACGGUCGCGGCGCGGCCUCUGGCGCCGCCGCAUGGUGGAAAUAGGCCUGAGUUAGGGCAGUCUUCUGGUCGAUCCGGCGAGACCCAGGGACAAUCGAGGAACUCUAGUUAUGGGAAGGAGGGUUAUCAAAGGCAAGGGAGUGGCUAUAGAGGUGAGGCGAGGCAGGUAGGAAGCGGGCCUGCAGGGGGAGGGAGUGUGAAUGGUGGAGGAGAAGGAGCUGGGGGGACUACUCUCUUCGUGGGGGAGCUUCACUGGUGGACGACGGACGCUGAUCUCGAGACAGAGGUCAGCAAGUACGGGCAGCUGAAGGAGGUGAAAUUCUACGAUGAGAAGGCGAGCGGGAAGUCGAAGGGGUUCUGCCAGGUCGAUUUCUAUGAUCCAGUGGCCGCUGCAGCGUGCAAGGAAGGGAUGAACGGGCACGUCUUCAAUGGCCGACCCUGUGUCGUGGCAUUUGCAUCGCCGCACACUGUUCGUCGGAUGGGAGAAGCUCAACUCAAGAAUCAGCAGAUGCCAGCCCAAUCUUCAGCCUUGCCUCAGAAGGGGAGAGGAGGGGGAGGGGCCCCAAUGGGUGGGAAUUAUGGGAGGGGUGGUGGUGGUGGUGGUGGUAAUUGGGGGAGGGGUGGGAUGGGGAAUCGAGGGCCAAUGGGGAAUAUGAGGAACAGGAUGGGUCCUGUGGGCGGCAGAGGAAUCAUGGGAAACGGUGGGAUGGUCGCUCCACCACCUCCGAUGCUGCAUCCUGGUGCUAUGCUUGGUCAAGGUUUUGAUCCAACUGGUUACGGAGCAGUGGCUAUGGGGAGAAUGGGUGGUGCAUAUGGAGGCUUUCCUGCAGGGCCGACGACAGCUCCAUUCCCGGGAUUGAUGCCUUCAUUUCCUCCAGUUGUGGCUCCUCAUCUGAACCCAGCCUUCUUCGGAAGGGGAGGGAUGGCCGCUGGUGGUGUUGGGAUGUGGCCGGAUCCCAGUAUGGGUGGAUGGGGAGGUGAAGAGCAGUCAAGUUAUGGGGAUGAUGCUGCUUCAGACCAGCGGUAUGGAGAAGGAAGCCAUGGCAAGGAUCGGGGUCCUGAUCGGGAUUGGUCACGGGUUUCGGAUAGAAGGCAUGACAAGGAGACGGACAUGGGUCCUGCACAGGAAUGGUCGGAGAGGAGGCAUCAUGAUGGAAGAGAAAUGGAUAGGGAGAGGGAUCGUGAUUGGGAGAGAGACAGGGACAGGGAGAGAGAAAGGGGGAGGGACAAAAACAGAGAGGGGGGAACGGAGAGGGAGAGGGAAAGGGAUAGGUAUCGGGAUGACAGAGACCGUCAUGGAGAUCACUACAGGCAAAGGGACCGUGAAUUGGAGCAUGCUGAUGACUGGGAUAGAGGACGAUCAUCGAUGCAAAGAAGCAAGCCACGGGAGGUUGAGCAUUCGAAGAGGCGGCGUUUAUCACCUGAGUGAGAUGGGGUGUUAGCAAAUUCCUUAGCUAGGAAGGAGAUCAAUGAUUUGUGAGCAAGCAUGUCACUCACUCCUGUUUAUGUUUUAGACUUUUAGUAAUUUCAUGCUCAUGGGACAUUUGCAGACGUUGCUUGAAUGGACCUGUUGUAGCUGUCAUUUUUGAUAUAAGAGCAGUUGGAAAUGGUUUGGCUACAGUAGCAGGUCCCUCUUUGUUGAGUGGAUGCCGGUUAUCUUCUGAGCUUACAAAUUGAAUGAGUGAUGUGAAUGGUGCAUGUAUUCUGCUCCAAAACCAAUUUAGUAACUGUCCUCUUGGUUUGAAACAUUUGGAAUGUAUUGAAGUGCUGUAGGAGAUUUCACUGCAUGGAAUGUAAGAUUUAAAUGAUAGGAAAAAGGUCUUGCUGAUUUA